ACCUGGUAAACAGGAACAGUAAUGAGAACUGUGGCACCAAAGGGAAAGUUUGAGGCUCUUCAAAACACCAACCACAUACUACUUUGUGCAAACCCCCCACCCUUCCCUGAGCUCAGCACACUCCCUGGGCCUGAGCGAGGGAGGCUGACUGUGGAACUGACAGCUCAGCAGAUGGGCCACAGAGAGAGAGGACAGGGCCCCUGCUGAAGGCUUCAGAGAGUGAUGCUUUUCUACCACCUCUCAACUGCACCACCCCUACGUUCUCAAGAGAACCACUCCCCGCAAGGUCUGUGGGGUCACAGUUCCAUUUCCAGAACCACGGCCACUGCUAUGUGUCAGGAACCAAGAGGCUGGAGACAGAAGUACGAGAGCACCCUGACACUGCUCUCAGCCUCGUGAAGAAGAGUUUGUGAACAGCAGUCACAGUUCUGUGCUAAGUGCAGUAUUCCACAUGGGACAGAAAAGCCGUGGCGGUCAGAGGAAGACUCAUGACAUGCUAGAGAGGAGGCAGAAACACCUGGCUCAUGCGUGUGUACGAUUCCACCGGGUGGGGAGGAGUGCGGGCUGCACGGCAGGGGAAGCAGGGAAUAAAUAAGUGGGCAGCGGGGUCAGACUGUGAAGGGCCUUCCUUCUGUGUCAUGCUACAGUGGGAAGACUUUCUAAGGCAGAAGAGCCACACUUGAAAAGCGCCACUUUCAUUAGAAUAAAAAGUCAGCUUUUAAGCCUUUUCAAUGUAGAAACAAUAAAUCCACUCGAUCCUUAGCAUUCCCUCGGUACUGGAAAUUCACCCUGAAGGAAAAAAGUGUCCUUAGAACCUUCUGAUGGGGGAUUCAGUUUCUGCUGUUCACCCACUCACCUGGUGAGCCCACCAUACCAUGAGUGUCUCCCCAUUCUCUGUUGUUCUCUCAGAAUGAAUCUGAAAACUUGGGUAAGAGGAGAAAACGAAUGCAAUCAUUCAGCAGAAUCCCCUUCACAACUCCUGCCCAGUGGUUGUCCUGUCGUUAUUCGAUCAAAUCCAGGGAUGGAGAACUCACCACCUAAAGCAGCUGUUGUCAUCUUGACAUCUGAUUGGUUUGGAGCCCAUGUUUGUACCAAGAUUACCUCCUGUACACAGGGUGACUCUUUGGGGUCACACAGAACAAAGCUAGUCACUAUUCCACGAGACAGCCCUCCUCCCUGCGUCAAAGAUUCCCAGGUCCUUCCAUCACUACAUGCUAUGGACUAGAGCCUCCUUCCCAUCUUGGCGAACUCAUUCUAAUGAACUCACGUCUCAUGAAGAAGCUUCCAGAACUGAACAGAGAACACCGUAUAGAGUGGAAGAGGAUUAUCACGUCCCUUAUCUUAGAUACUAUGCUUCCAUUAAUGUUGGCUAAUAUGGCAUAUCUUUCGGUGAUCACGUCACAUUGCUGAGUCUACUAAAACUCCCAAAGGGUUAUAUUGCAUUAUAUAUCACGAUGAUAAUUAAUACCUACUUAUUGAGGGUUUUGGGGUGUCAACCACCAAGCUAAGUGGUUUAAAUAAUAACAGCACUUACUAUGUUUCAUGAGUCAAUUAAUUUAUGAUAUAGAUAGUAUUAAACCCAUCCCAGACAGAUGGAGAAACGAGGGUUAAUAAUUUGCCCAUGUCCACGAGUUUGUAAGUGACGAAGGUGGGAUUUAAAUAUGGAUAGCCCCACUCUCAGCCUCUUAACCAUUAAGCUACCUUGCUUUGCAAAUACCAGGGCUAAACAAGAUCUUUGGUUCCCAAACCUAGUAGUCUGGUGAACUUACUAUAAAUACAAAUUCCCAGAAUAAAUAAUUUAAUUUAAUAAAAAAUGCAGAUUUCCUGGCUCCGUCUGGACCAAAUGAAUUAGAACUUCUGAGCUGAAAGCCAGGAAUCUAUUUUAACAGGCUUACAAGUGAUCCUAACAAAUUCAUCUGCAGACCAGCGUUUGGGACCCUUGAACUGACUCCCUCUGCCCUAAAAGUCAGUGAUCCGAGGGUCUUCACAUUAGGCACCCAACUAACCUAUCACAACCUGCUGAUCCAGUCCCUUGAGAAAUGACCCGGGCUAUGUGCUCAAGUAGUACGUCAUCUGUAACAAAUUCUGUGACACAGCCAACCCCCAAGGGAUGCUCAGCGAUUCUCAAUUCUGCUGCCUAUUAAAAUCACCCGGAGGCUUUAAAAACAUUCCCACCCAAGGAUCCACCCCAUAGAUUCUGACUUAAUUGCUUGAAGAUGGGGCCUGGGCAUUUUUUUUUAAGCUUAAUGUACAACCAGGGUUGAGAACCCCUGAUGAAGUAGUGAAAUACUAAUAUCCAUGAAGCCUGUGCUUUGAAUUGGGAAUGAAGAGUGAGAAGAUUUUAGUCUGAAGUAAUUCCUGCCCUCCCUUCCCCAUCCCUAUCAGGAGAGAAGGCUUCCUGGAGGAGACAACAAAUCGUUUGAAUCGGUAGGUAUGGGAGUGUCUGCCCAGCCUGAGAACUUUCUCUCCUAACAGCCUCUGUGACCUGGUUUGAACAGACCCUCUCUCUUCUGAGCCUGGGAGCCAGUCCUUGUUGAUCCCCCUGUGGGUGGGAGGACUGGAGCAGUGACUCAGGGCUGCGUGUGCUAAGGAGGAAGCAAACGGAGCUGGGUUGCCAGGAGAGGCCGGGUGGUGGAGCCUGCACACAGAGAAGGUGGAGGGAGAAGCCGCCAGGGGCGCAGAUGCUUCUCAGGCCUCGGUCCUGUCUGUGUGAGACAAGCUUCACUUCCUGCUCUGGGAUUCCAGGAGACGCCUCUGUGUCCUCCUAAUCCAUUGCUAUAAUGGGUCAACUCAGGGCACUCAUGAUCCCAUCAAGAUGUCUCAGACACUAAACCCAAAGUUGCUGGCUCAAGGAUGAGAUACGAUUCUGGGUGUCAAACAGAAAAAACGAACGGGUGGAACUUGCAAACUGAAUGCUAAUCUGCUGUCAGUCACUCAACCCUUAUUGAGCAGAGCUGUGUGCCAGGCAUCGCGUUUCUCUCUGGGGGGACAGAGAUGACUCAGACUUGGAUCCUGCCUUCGGGAACCUCACCACCUAGCAGGGAAACCAGGAGAGAUUCGUAAAUAGAAUACAAGAAAGACAGGGAUGAGAGCCCUGAGAGAGGCACAAAGCACCAUGAAUUCAGACUGUGGGGAUCAGGGAAGCUUCCCAGCAGCUGAGGCAUUUACACUGGCCUGAAGGGGUGGGUGAGAUUAGGACAGAGGAAGGUGGAGGGGAGAAGGCAUUCUAGGGGGAGGAAACCAGGGGGGCUGAGGCCUGCAGGUGGAAAUGCAUGCAGACAGGAAGCCCAGCUUGGCUGCAGCGCGGUGAGAGAAGAGGCUGUGAGGCUGUGAAGGUUGCUCGUGUUCUGACGGCACCAGUUCUUACAGUGACAGGAGGCAACACCGUCUCAUACAUAUUUUCUCACUGUAAGGCGUUAUGGUGAACUAACUGGCCCCAUGAGGUGUUUGAUCUUCAGGGAAAGGGCCAUUCCUCAACCCAGAGGAAUGAACAUGAAAUGGCAUUUCAGACCUUCAGGAGGAAAGGAUCGGGGUCAGCAAGUCCUUCCCUGGGCCUCUCGGAUUCCUCCACUCGGGAAGAAGCUUGGGCCUACCUGACAGCCAGGGUCCUCCUCCUGAUCUCUCGUGACAGCUGGAGCAGGGGCCGGUGUGACUGUGACCGCAGGGCGCUUGGCUGGCUCCUCCUCUUUGAAGGACAAACAUGGGACAGAGAGAGCUACAGACGGGAGCGCAGCUGGGAAGAGGUGCCCCCCCCCCCGAAUUCCCAUCCUGGCCAGUGUGACGAAGGAGACUGUGAACAGCUUGGGCAACUGGAGCAGCGAGAGGGAUAGGUGAGGCCCCAGCCCUCAGUCUGGCCCUUGCCCCUACCUGCUGCCUGCAGAGGACCCUGACGAUUUCAGAAGCAGCCGCCAGGAAGCCUUGGGAUAGGGUUAUAGCAACAGGAGACAUGGAAAGUGGGGAGCGCUGAGUUUAGGGACAGGCUUUCUCACUUCUUGGCUGGGAGGGCUUUGGGCAAGUCACUUGACCUCUCUGAGCCUCAGCUUCCUUGUCUGUGCACGUUGCCAGGUGCAGUGAGGCAGGCCUGGGGGGCUGUGCGAAACCCACAGGGCAGGAGCUUCUCGCCACCCAAGCCCAGCUGCCACACAGAUGCUGAACUCCGAUGUCACCGGACCCCUCCCUGGUGGCCUUCCCUCGCUGGGAUUGCUGGUCUCAGACCAGUCCCUAGCAGCACUGUCCUUGUUUAGAAGUGACAGGAAGAAGAACUAGAGUCUAGUAGAGUCUCAUCUGGGAUGAGAUUUAGCCAAGAAACGAGUUCAGCAGCGCCCUGGCCCGCCCUGGCCCGCCCUGGCCUUCCCCAUCUGAAGCUCAUGGGAGCGCCAGCAGCUGAGUCAGAAAGGGAGCAGCACCGACAGGAGGAGGCCAGAGGGCAGCUGUGCGCAGGGCAGCCCCGGAUUGGCAGGCCCAAGCCUGGCUCGGAGAGGCCAAGAGGCACGCCCCAGGCCCGGCCGCCAGGAGCGGGGAGGUGGCAGGAGGAGACCCGCUGGGCUGGCGUCCUCUCACCUUCUGGUGUGCCCUCUGCUUUAGCCUGAGGCUUGGCUUUGGCCUCCUGAUCCAAGCCAUCCUCCUCCUUGUCCUUGGAGGGCCGGGCUGUGAAUGAGAACAGAAGCACCUCUUGUCUGCGGCCGUGGCAUCCCUGCCAUGCCCCUCAGCUAGGCUGGUCCUCUGAGCAGCCAGAGCUGCCAUAGCGGGCGGGCGGAGGCUGGCCUGGGAGCUGCAGUGCCUAGAUUCUGGCCCUACUGGCUUGCUCACGGUGCCCGAUUCCCCAACUUUUGUCUUGAAUUCCCCACACUGUCGCUCACUCAGCUGUGACAGAGCGAGCCACUCCCCCUUUCUAGUCCUAUUUCCUUUCUGGUAAAAUGACAUUGUUUAGACUGAGGAGCAACACAUAGGAUUUUUUUCCCUUUUUGAGCUCAGGAGAUGGCUUUUUUGAGCAAUGAACUGAGGAGGCUUCUGAUCCAAGGUUGGUGGAUUACCAGGAUUGAUCAGUGAUGUCUGCAGUGGGCAAGGAAUGGGCAAAUAAUAACAUUUGUUACGUUGUUAAAAAGGGAGACAUUUUUGCUAUCCUUGGACUAGAUUAAAGUCCUUUGCAGCUCACUUGCUAGGAAGCUACCAGAAUCCAGGGGCACCGUAGCUCUAGCUCCAGGGGCACUACUGGUAGCCAUGUUCGUGAGCUUUCCUUUCUGGUGGGAAAGGAGAAACAGCUGACCGCCAAGCUCCCUGCUGCACCUUUUUUGACCCCAGAUACUUGGAGCACAAGCGGGGCCUCCUUCCAGAGCCCUGUGCAUGUACCGUGCUCAGAUGAGGCCCCCAGAGCAUCAUGCACAGAAUGGUGCUGUCCUGAUUUCCAGGAAUGGUAAAUGGGGAGGGCAAUGCUCUUUCGAUGUGAUAAUGUUCCAGGCCCCAGGCGGAGUGCUUUACGUGUAUCCUUUCAGGGUGGGAGGCACAGAGACUGUGGUGCAGAGGCUCAGGAGGGACCUCACAGCCGGGCAGCCUGGGAGGGUGAGGGCAGUGGCACAAGUUAUAGAGCAAAGUGCUGCCACGGGUCUAUUCUGGAGUCCAGGCUGGCCUCUCUUUAAAGGCAAUACCAUGAUACACUAUGAGCACUCAUGUGGGGGUCCACGAGACAAAAUAAAUAAAAAUGUUUUAAUUGCUACAAUUCAAUAUUAGGUUAGCUCGGAUUCUGGUGUGAGAGAGCCUGGGUUUGAAUCCUAGUCCCUCCUCUUGCUAACCGGGGACCUAUAUGGGUGAUUCCUUAACCUCUCUGUACCUCAGGUUCUUCAUCCAUAAUGUCUUACAGAGUUGUUGAAGGAAUAAAUGAAUUUAUACAAUGAAUUGUGCUUAAAAUGGUGCCUGGCACCUAGAAAACACUGCGUGUUAGUUCUGACUUCAGUGGUGACUGGACAACAGGAGUUGAGGGCAGCUGUCCCAGAAAGCAGCUCCACAGCGAUGAGGCCCCGUGUUCUGGAAGGCCCGAGCUGGGAGGGAGCCUGAAGAUCCUCCAGUCCAUAAACAGAGAAGGUGCAAUCUGGGAAGCUGGCUGGCUUGGACUCUGCCUGGGUCCAGGAUGGGCAGGAAAUAUAAACAAGUCUGGAAUUUCCUCCAUUCAACCUGUCUUCUAAACUCUCAGAGUUGGUUCAGCUGCAGCCGCCUCUGGGAGUGGGCUCCAUUCUGCAGAGCCACCACUCUGGCGUGUGUGGCCCCCCGAAGAGCCCCAGCGGGCCUGCCCAGCAGGUCCUCGUCAGACCUGCGAUGUCAGGAGGCGGGCCCUCCAUGCCUCCGUCCAGACAACUCCAGUGCCCUUCUGGUCCUGACCACGCACUGCAGUCUUCUGUGAGCAAUGCAAAGCUGUUAAAGGGAUGCUGCCCUGGUCCCAGUCCUGGCGCUGAGAGUACCUGCUGACUGGCUGGAGGAGCUGGCAGGAAAAACGAGUUCCCCUUGUUCCUUCUCAUCCCUCGGCACACACCCCAACCUCUCAUUCCCCCUGCCAACGAAGAAGGCAGGUGAACCGCAGGGCCUCUUUCUGUUUGUCCCCAUCUGUUCCUCUGUCUCAGCAUCUCUCUCUCUCUCUCUCUCCCCCCCAAACCCACACGCAUCCAGCUGAAGUCACCAGAAGAGGA
Manis pentadactyla (Chinese pangolin) is the source of this 6677-nucleotide long non-coding RNA. RefSeq lists it as uncharacterized. The record is from RefSeq and is a predicted model, not a curated record. NCBI's taxonomy places the organism in Eukaryota, Metazoa, Chordata, Mammalia, Pholidota, Manidae. The transcript is spliced from 3 exons.